CCCUUAGAUGUUCUGGGCCGCACGCGUGCUACACUGAGUGGAUCAGCGGGUCAGGUUGCGCGAAAGUGUUUCCUAAUCUUGAAAUCCGCUCGUGAUGGGGAUUGACGGUUGCAAUUUUCCGUCAUGAACGAGGAAUACCUUGUAAGCGCGGGUCAUCAUCCCGCGCUGAAUACGUCCCUGCCCUUUUUACACACCGCCCGUCGCUCCUACCGAUUGAGUGGUCCGGUGAGGCUUUGGGAUCUGAGCGGAAAGAGCGUUUCGCUGUUUCUGCUCGGAAAACUCAGUCGAACCUUAUCAUUUAGAGGAAGGAGAAGUCGUAACA
This 322-nucleotide ribosomal RNA is filed under the name uncultured eukaryote. RNAcentral's name for it is "partial 18S ribosomal RNA". It matches the Rfam family "Eukaryotic small subunit ribosomal RNA", at positions 1470 to 1796 of the family's 1831-position model. The record is from RNAcentral.